GACGAACGCUGGCGGCGUGCUUAACACAUGCAAGUCGAGCGGUAAGGCCCUUCGGGGUACACGAGCGGCGAACGGGUGAGUAACACGUGGGUGACCUGCCCUUAGCUCUGGGAUAAGCCCGGGAAACUGGGUCUAAUACCGGAUAUGACCAUUUGUUGCAUGACAGGUGGUGGAAAGUUUUUCGGCUAGGGAUGGGCCCGCGGCCUAUCAGCUUGUUGGUGGGGUGAUGGCCUACCAAGGCGACGACGGGUAGCCGGCCUGAGAGGGCGACCGGCCACACUGGGACUGAGACACGGCCCAGACUCCUACGGGAGGCAGCAGUGGGGAAUAUUGCGCAAUGGGCGGAAGCCUGACGCAGCGACGCCGCGUGGGGGAUGACGGCCUUCGGGUUGUAAACCUCUUUCGCCAGGGACGAAGAGAGAUUGACGGUACCUGGAUAAGAAGCACCGGCCAACUACGUGCCAGCCGCCGC
RNAcentral lists this ribosomal RNA (472 nucleotides) under uncultured bacterium. RNAcentral describes it as "bacterial SSU rRNA". It matches the Rfam family "Bacterial small subunit ribosomal RNA", at positions 28 to 518 of the family's 1533-position model. The record is from RNAcentral.